UGGGGAAUAUUCCGCAAUGGACGAAAGUCUGACGGAGCAACGCCGCGUGAGUGAUGAAGGUUUUCGGACUGUAAAGCUCUGUUGUUUGGGACGAAAGUGCCUGUUGCGAACAGUUACGGGUAUUGACGGUACUAAACGAGGAAGCCACGGCUAACUACGUGCCAGCAGCCGCGGUAAUACGUAGGUGGCAAGCGUUGUCCGGAAUUAUUGGGCGUAAAGAGCAUGUAGGCGGGAAUCUAAGUCUGUUGUGAAAAUGCGGGGCUCAACCCCGUAUUGCGAUGGAAACUGGGUUUCUUGAGUGCAGGAGAGGAAAGGGGAAUUCCCAGUGUAGCGGUGAAAUGCGUAGAUAUUGGGAGGAACACCAGUGGCGAAGGCGCCUUUCUGGACUGUGUCUGACGCUGAGAUGCGAAAGCCAGGGUAGCGAACGG
Molecule: ribosomal RNA, 428 nt
Filed under: uncultured bacterium
Lineage: Bacteria
Description: bacterial SSU rRNA
Rfam family: Bacterial small subunit ribosomal RNA
Source: RNAcentral